UCACAUGCACGCACAUCAUCAAC
Molecule: non-coding RNA, 23 nt
Filed under: Arabidopsis thaliana (thale cress)
Lineage: Eukaryota; Viridiplantae; Streptophyta; Magnoliopsida; Brassicales; Brassicaceae
Source: RNAcentral